AAGUCGUAACAAGGUUUCCGUAGGUGAACCUGCGGAAGGAUCAUUACCGAGUGAGGGCCCUCUGGGUCCAACCUCCCACCCGUGUUUAUUUUACCUUGUUGCUUCGGCGGGCCCGCCUUAACUGGCCGCCGGGGCUAGCUGCCCGGCCCGGCCGCCGCCCGCAGAACGACCAUCCGAUCGAUCUCGUCUGACUGAAGUUGUAGUCUGAGUGAAAAAUAUAAACUAUUUAAAA
This 232-nucleotide unclassified non-coding RNA is filed under the name plant metagenome. RNAcentral's name for it is "partial contains small subunit ribosomal RNA and internal transcribed spacer 1". The stretch from base 1 to 46 matches the Rfam family "Eukaryotic small subunit ribosomal RNA", at positions 1786 to 1831 of the family's 1831-position model. The record is from RNAcentral.